This 422-nucleotide ribosomal RNA is filed under the name Verrucomicrobiota bacterium. RNAcentral describes it as "Verrucomicrobia bacterium partial 16S ribosomal RNA". It matches the Rfam family "Bacterial small subunit ribosomal RNA", at positions 355 to 776 of the family's 1533-position model. Lineage: Bacteria; Pseudomonadati; Verrucomicrobiota. The record is from RNAcentral.
UGGGGAAUUUUGCACAAUGGACGCAAGCCUGAUGCAGCGACGCCGCGUGAGGGAUGAAGGCCUUCGGGUUGUAAACCUUUUUCGCUCAUGGUCAAGCCGCAGCUUUGGGUUGUGGUGAGGGUAGUGGGUAAAGAAGCGCCGGCUAACUACGUGCCAGCAGCCGCGGUAAUACGUAGGGCGCGAGCGUUGUCCGGAAUUAUUGGGGGUAAAGGGCUUGUAGGCGGUUGGCCGCGUCUGCCGUGAAAUCCUCUGGCUUAACUGGGGGCGUGCGGUGGGGACGGGGUGACUUGAGUGCGGUAGGAGGGACUGGAAUUCCUGGUGUAGCGGUGGAAUGCGCAGAUAUCAGGAGGAACACCGGUGGCGAAGGCGGGUCUCUGGGCCGUUACUGACGCUGAGGAGCGAAGGCGUGGGGAGCGAACAGG